RNAcentral lists this small nuclear RNA (107 nucleotides) under Sciurus vulgaris (Eurasian red squirrel). Lineage: Eukaryota; Metazoa; Chordata; Mammalia; Rodentia; Sciuridae. The record is from RNAcentral.
GUGCUCGCUUCGGCAGCAUAUAUACUAAAAUUGGAACGAUACAGAGAAGAUUAGCAUGGCCCCUGCACAAGGAUGACACGCAAAUUUGUGAAGCAUUCCAUAUUUUU